GACAGAGGGGGCAAGCGUUGCUCGGAAUUACUGGGCGUAAAGGGCGCGUAGGCGGUCGUGACAAGUCACUUGUGAAAUCUCCGGGCUUAACUCGGAACGGUCAAGUGAUACUGUCGGACUAGAGUACAGAAGGGGCAACUGGAAUUCUCGGUGUAGCGGUGAAAUUCGUAGAUAUCGGGAGGAACACCAGUGGCGAAGGCGGCGAUCUGGGAAGAUACUGACGCUGAGGUGCGAAAGCGUGGGGAGCAAACAGG
RNAcentral lists this ribosomal RNA (254 nucleotides) under uncultured bacterium. RNAcentral's name for it is "partial 16S ribosomal RNA". It matches the Rfam family "Bacterial small subunit ribosomal RNA", at positions 524 to 776 of the family's 1533-position model. The record is from RNAcentral.